This 498-nucleotide ribosomal RNA is filed under the name uncultured bacterium. Its description in RNAcentral is "partial 16S ribosomal RNA". It matches the Rfam family "Bacterial small subunit ribosomal RNA", at positions 30 to 523 of the family's 1533-position model. The record is from RNAcentral.
AUUGAACGCUGGCGGCAUGCCUUACACAUGCAAGUCGAACGGUAACGCGGGGCAACCCGGCGACGAGUGGCGAACGGGUGAGUAACGCAUCGGAACGUGCCCAAUAGUGGGGGAUAGCCCGGCGAAAGCCGGAUUAAUACCGCAUACGACCUACGGGUGAAAGCAGGGGAUCGCAAUACCUUGCGCUAAUGGAGCGGCCGAUGUCAGAUUAGGUUGUUGGUGGGGUAAAAGCCCACCAAGCCGACGAUCUGUAGCUGGUCUGAGAGGACGACCAGCCACACUGGGACUGAGACACGGCCCAGACUCCUACGGGAGGCAGCAGUGGGGAAUUUUGGACAAUGGGCGCAAGCCUGAUCCAGCCAUGCCGCGUGCGGGAUGAAGGCCUUCGGGUUGUAAACCGCUUUUGUUAGGGAAGAAAUCUUUUGAGCUAAUACCUCGGAAGGAUGACGGUACCUAAAGAAUAAGCACCGGCUAACUACGUGCCAGCCGCCGCCGUAA